Molecule: ribosomal RNA, 438 nt
Filed under: uncultured soil bacterium
Lineage: Bacteria
Description: bacterial SSU rRNA
Rfam family: Bacterial small subunit ribosomal RNA
Source: RNAcentral
AGAGCGAACGCUGGCGGCAGGCCUAACACAUGCAAGUCGAACGGACCCUUCGGGGUUAGUGGCGGACGGGUGAGUAACACGUGGAAACGUGCCUUUUGGUUCGGAAUAGCUCCUGGAAACGGGUGGUAAUGCCGAAUGUGCCCUUCGGGGGAAAGAUUUAUCGCCGUUAGAGCGGCCCGCGUCUGAUUAGCUAGUUGGUGAGGUAAAGGCUCACCAAGGCUACGAUCAGUAGCUGGUCUGAGAGGAUGACCAGCCACAUUGGGACUGAGACACGGCCCAAACUCCUACGGGAGGCAGCAGUGGGGAAUCUUGCGCAAUGGGCGAAAGCCUGACGCAGCCAUGCCGCGUGAAUGAGUAGAAGGUCUUAGGAUUAGUUAAAAUUCUUUACACCGGGUACGAUAAUGACGGUACCGGAGAAGAACGACCCGGCUAACUCGU